AUUGAACGCUGGCGGCAGGCCUAACACAUGCAAGUCGAACGGCAGCACAGAAGAGCUUGCUCUUUGGGUGGCGAGUGGCGGACGGGUGAGUAAUGUCUGGGAAACUGCCCGAUGGAGGGGGAUAACUACUGGAAACGGUAGCUAAUACCGCAUAACGUCGCAAGACCAAAGUGGGGGACCUUCGGGCCUCACACCAUCGGAUGUGCCCAGAUGGGAUUAGCUAGUAGGUGGGGUAAUGGCUCACCUAGGCGACGAUCCCUAGCUGGUCUGAGAGGAUGACCAGCCACACUGGAGCUGAGACACGGUCCAGACUCCUACGGGAGGCAGCAGUGGGGAAUAUUGCACAAUGGGCGCAAGCCUGAUGCAGCCAUGCCGCGUGUAUGAAGAAGGCCUUCGGGUUGUAAAGUACUUUCAGCGGGGAGGAAGGCGGUGAGGUUAAUAACCUUGCCGAUUGACGUUACCCGCGGAAGAAGCACCGGCUAACUCCGUGCCAGCCGCCGCGGUAA
RNAcentral lists this ribosomal RNA (506 nucleotides) under uncultured bacterium. RNAcentral's name for it is "partial 16S ribosomal RNA". It matches the Rfam family "Bacterial small subunit ribosomal RNA", at positions 29 to 523 of the family's 1533-position model. The record is from RNAcentral.